AACGAACGCUGGCGGCAUGCCUAACACAUGCAAGUCGAACGAGACCUUCGGGUCUAGUGGCGCACGGGUGCGUAACGCGUGGGAAUCUGCCCUUAGGUUCGGAAUAACAGUUAGAAAUGACUGCUAAUACCGGAUAAUGACUUCGGUCCAAAGAUUUAUCGCCAUUAGAGCGGCCCGCGUUAGAUUAGCUAGUUGGUGAG
This 200-nucleotide ribosomal RNA is filed under the name uncultured bacterium. RNAcentral describes it as "partial 16S ribosomal RNA". It matches the Rfam family "Bacterial small subunit ribosomal RNA", at positions 29 to 256 of the family's 1533-position model. The record is from RNAcentral.